AAUGUCAGUUUCACCUUCUUUUUUUCCAAGUUCUGCACACCAAGGGACUCUGGCCAGCCGGCCAAUGUUCAUCCGUGCUCACUACAGGAGUUCAGGUAUAUAUAAAAUCAAGACAAAAGAACCCAAGGGCACAGAUAUUUAACGAGGAUAAUUUAUAGAUAAAGCACGCACAUUACAUAGACACGAACGUAGUACGACGCACACAAUAUCAGUUCACCACUCUGCUCUGCUCGUGGAACCUACCGGCACCCAGGCCACAACACCAUGAACUGCAUGCGGAUAAUUAACUCGAUCGACCCUAAACCACACACAACGACUAGGUAGAACGACACGGAUCUGGCCGCCAAGGCCUAGCUAAGCUUCAGUACUAGUAGCAGCAAUUUAUUCUCCAGACAUGGGACUCCUCACACGGCAGACGUACGUCGACAGACACACGGGCCAGGGCGCUUCAGUUCGUUCA
RNAcentral lists this long non-coding RNA (460 nucleotides) under Triticum aestivum (bread wheat). Its description in RNAcentral is "long non-coding RNA (TAES_LNC026072)". Lineage: Eukaryota; Viridiplantae; Streptophyta; Magnoliopsida; Poales; Poaceae. The record is from RNAcentral.